Molecule: ribosomal RNA, 468 nt
Filed under: uncultured bacterium
Lineage: Bacteria
Description: partial 16S ribosomal RNA
Rfam family: Bacterial small subunit ribosomal RNA
Source: RNAcentral
GACGAACGCUGGCGGCGUGCUUAACACAUGCAAGUCGAACGGAAAGGCCCUGCUUUUGUGGGGUGCUCGAUUGGCGAACGGGUGAGUAACACGUGAGUAACCUGCCCUUGACUUUGGGAUAACUUCAGGAAACUGGGGCUAAUACCGGAUAUGAUCUCCUGCUGCAUGGUGGGGGUUGGAAAGUUUCGGCGGUUGGGGAUGGACUCGCGGCUUAUCAGCUUGUUGGUGGGGUAGUGGCUUACCAAGGCUUUGACGGGUAGCCGGCCUGUGAGGGUGACCGGCCACAGUGGGACUGAGAUACGGCCCAGACUACUACGGGAGGCAGCAGUGGGGAAUAUUGCACAAUGGGCGGAAGCCUGAUGCAGCAACGCCGCGUGCGGGAUGACGGCCUUCGGGUUGUAAACCGCUUUCGCCUGUGACGAAGCGUGAGUGACGGUAAUGGGUAAAGAAGCACCGGCUAACUACGUG